AGGGUUUGAUCAUGGCUCAGAGCGAACGCUGGCGGCGUGCUUAACACAUGCAAGUCGAGUGCGCGCCUGUAGCAAUACAGGUGGCGCACGGCGCACGGGUGCGUAACACGUGGGUAAUCUGCCCUUCGAUGGGGAAUAACUCGCCGAAAGGCGAGCUAAUUCCGCAUAACAUUCCGGGAACCUCGGUUCCUGGAUUCAAAGGCGUAAGUCGUCGGAGGAGGAGCCCGCGCACGAUUAGCUAGUUGGUAGGGUAACGGCCUACCAAGGCUAUGAUCGUUAGCUGGUCUGAGAGGAUGGCCAGCCACACUGGAACUGAGACACGGUCCAGACUCCUACGGGAGGCAGCAGUGGGGAAUCUUGCACAAUGGGCGAAAGCCUGAUGCAGCGACGCCGCGUGGGGGAUGAAGCUUUUCGGAGUGUAAACCCCUUUCGACCCGGACGAAUGCCCCGCAAGGGGAUUGACGGUACGGGUAUAAGAAGCCCCGGCUAACUACGUGCCAGCAGCCGCGGUAAGACGUAGGGGGCCAGCGUUGCUCGGAAUUACU
This 545-nucleotide ribosomal RNA is filed under the name uncultured bacterium. RNAcentral's name for it is "bacterial SSU rRNA". It matches the Rfam family "Bacterial small subunit ribosomal RNA", at positions 8 to 555 of the family's 1533-position model. The record is from RNAcentral.